AGCCUUAAGAUAAUUAUUUAAGGUUAAACCUGCCCAGUGUGAGUUGGUACAUAAACGGCCGCGGUACCUUGACCGUGCUAAGGUAGCGCAAUCAAUUGGUUUUUAAAUGGAGCCAUGUAUGAAUGGAGUUACGGGGUUUUUCUGUCUCCUAGCUAUUAUAUUGAAAUUACUAUAUAGGUGAAAAAGCCUAUAACGAGAAAAAGGACGAGAAGACCCUUAGAGUUUUUCUAAAUUUAAUGAACAUUUGGUUCUUGAAGCAGUUUGGUUGGGGCAACACGGGAGCACAAUUUAAUCUCCCUAUUAAUAUAAAUCGAUUAUUUUAGAAUUGAGUAAACUACCUUAGGGAUAACAGCAUAAUUUUAUAAGUAAGUUUGUGACCUCGAUGUUGGACUGGGAAACUAGAAGGUUAGCCGCCU
RNAcentral lists this ribosomal RNA (416 nucleotides) under Roboastra ricei. Its description in RNAcentral is "partial 16S ribosomal RNA". It matches the Rfam family "Archaeal large subunit ribosomal RNA", at positions 1920 to 2633 of the family's 2987-position model. Lineage: Eukaryota; Metazoa; Mollusca; Gastropoda; Nudibranchia; Polyceridae. The record is from RNAcentral.